Molecule: ribosomal RNA, 416 nt
Filed under: uncultured bacterium
Lineage: Bacteria
Description: bacterial SSU rRNA
Rfam family: Bacterial small subunit ribosomal RNA
Source: RNAcentral
UAGGGGGGGGAACUCUGACGCAGCAAUACCGCGUGCGGGAAGACGCUUUGUGGAGUGUAAACCGCUGUCAGGUGGGAAGAAUUUUGACGGUACCACCAGAGGAAGCACCGGCUAACUCUGUGCCAGCAGCCGCGGUAAUACAGAGGGUGCAAGCGUUGUCCGGAUUUAUUGGGCGUAAAGCGUCUGUAGGUUGUUUAUCAAGUCUGGAGUGAAAGAAUGGGGCUUAACCCCAUCCCCGCUCUGGAAACUGGUAGACUAGAGACAGUUAGAGGUAAGUGGAAUUUCCAGUGUAGCGGUGAAAUGCGUAGAUAUUGGAAGGAACACCAGAGGCGAAGGCGGCUUACUGGGGCUGUUCUGACACUGAGAGACGAAAGCUUGGGGAGCGAAUGGGAUUAGAUACCCCCUGGUAGUACAAA